This 222-nucleotide unclassified non-coding RNA is filed under the name uncultured fungus. RNAcentral describes it as "sequence contains ITS1". Lineage: Eukaryota; Fungi. The record is from RNAcentral.
AUAUUAUAGUUUAAAGUCCGAGGACUGUAUACAUUCUAUUAACACGAGUGUAAAGGUAUAGUUCGCAGACAAAGCCUUUAAGGAGCCAAGUCCACUUGGGUCUAGCUUACGCCAGCAACCCUGAUAGUUCACAGGUGAGUGAGAGAUAAAUGAGAGUGCACCUGCAAAGCCAGCACAUCUCAAAAAUCGUUAAUGAUCCUUCCGCAGGUUCACCUACGGAAA